UAGGGAGUCUUCGGCAAUGGACGAAAGUCUGACCGAGCAACGCCGCGUGAGUGAAGAAGGUUUUCGGAUCGUAAAACUCUGUUGGUAGAGAAGAACGUUGGUGAGAGUGGAAAGCUCAUCAAGUGACGGUAACUACCCAGAAAGGGACGGCUAACUACGUGCUAG
RNAcentral lists this ribosomal RNA (165 nucleotides) under uncultured bacterium. RNAcentral's name for it is "partial 16S rRNA". It matches the Rfam family "Bacterial small subunit ribosomal RNA", at positions 355 to 511 of the family's 1533-position model. The record is from RNAcentral.